This 406-nucleotide ribosomal RNA is filed under the name uncultured bacterium. RNAcentral describes it as "partial 16S ribosomal RNA". It matches the Rfam family "Bacterial small subunit ribosomal RNA", at positions 30 to 526 of the family's 1533-position model. The record is from RNAcentral.
AUUGAACGCUGGCGGCAGGCCUAACACAUGCAAGUCGAACGAGUGGCGGACGGGUGAGUAAUGUCUGGGAAACUGCCCGAUGGAGGGGGAUAACUACUGGAAACGGUAGCUAAUACCGCAUACCAUCGGAUGUGCCCAGAUGGGAUUAGCUAGUAGGUGGGGUAACGGCUCACCUAGGCGACGAUCCCUAGCUGGUCUGAGAGGAUGACCAGCCAUACUGGAACUGAGCCACGGUCCAGGCUCCUACGUGAGGCAGCGGUGGGGAAUAUUGCGCAAUGGGCGCAAGCCCGAUGCAGCCAUGCCGCGUUUAUGAAGAAGGCCUUCGGGUUGUAAAGUGCUUUCCGCGGGGGGGCGUUACUCGCAGAAGAAUCACCGGCUAACUCCGUGCCAGCAGCCGCGGUAAUUC